GUAUCUUUUUUUAAGGUUGACCGAGUGCCUUAGGAGGCUAACACAAAAGGGUAAACUGAGUCUCCAUAAAACCCAGAGAAGAGAUGGCAAAACUCCUCUUUGGAUUCUGUCUGGAGUCACAGAU
Small nucleolar RNA from Pipistrellus kuhlii (Kuhl's pipistrelle), 124 nucleotides. RefSeq annotates it as small nucleolar RNA SNORA26. The record is from RefSeq and is a predicted model, not a curated record. The transcript has a single exon. Lineage: Eukaryota; Metazoa; Chordata; Mammalia; Chiroptera; Vespertilionidae.